This is a long non-coding RNA of Juglans microcarpa x Juglans regia, 629 nucleotides long. RefSeq lists it as uncharacterized. NCBI's taxonomy places the organism in Eukaryota, Viridiplantae, Streptophyta, Magnoliopsida, Fagales, Juglandaceae. The transcript is spliced from 2 exons. The record is from RefSeq and is a predicted model, not a curated record.
UCUAUAUUUAGAUUGUAUAGCAGAGAAUUAGGUUAACUAUAAAUAGUCUUAACGUGUGACAGAGAAAUCGGUAGAAGAAAUAUCUAGCAAGUUGUAACUCUUUUCUAUAAAUAAUGAAAGAAACCUAAUGGAAGCGGUAUUAAGACCAAUCUUGACAUGGUAUCAGAGCCCCUACUCUGAUAUUCAUCUAUGUGAUCUUAAUCCUUAAGUGUUGGCGUGUUGCGAUAGGAGGAAUUUUUUUCCUCUCACUAUUUCCGCAAGUUUCUCUUGUUUUUUGGUAUUCUUGGUUGGGAGUCGGAGUUGUCUGUGGUGUUUUCACUUGUGGCUUCGGCCAUUUCUGUGGCAGAUGGCAGUUUCUAUGGCGGUCGACUCCUUCUGUGGGUGGCUGUGUGGUGGUCGGCUAAGUCUGUGGUGGUUUGUUGGUGCUUGUCGGCAGUUUCUGGGUAGUUUCUGGUGGCUGAAGACGCACGGGUGUCACCUUUGGUGAGUAUCGGCAAUUUCUGUGGAGGUUUUUUGUGGCGGUCCGAAAGUUUCUGGGUGGCUGUGUUGCAGUCGGGUCACUCUGCUGGUUUUCAUAAUUUUUUGGGCAGGUAUCGAAGUAUUCUCCUUUGUCCGUAAGGUAUUUCUCU